GAUACUAUAUCUAUAUCUAUAGGCCUAUAGCCGUGAUGUAAACCGACAAUAUUCAAUUGGAUAUAUGUCGAUGUAUUAGUGUGUUACUGUAACAGUGUAACCGUAAUGUCCGCAAUGACUAAUGAAUAAUCUGAAAUUGACGAUUGUCUUAAAAAAAACGUUUGUAAUUAAACAAUAGCGUCAGUAUGCAGUAGGUAUGCGCCGCAGUCCUUCAAUCAGUGAGGUACAACUGUUUAGUGUUUUCUCCGUGGGUAAGGUACGGAGUACGCGGUUGCCGGUGGCGCUAACCAGCAUGAUUUUCAUAACCCCUUCACAAGGAUUAAUAUAAUCAUAAUGAUGCAUCACAUCAACUACAGAGUGCUUUUUACCUUACAAAAUUCAAGAACAUUGAUCGGCGUCCUUAAAAGUUAAAGCCUUCGAUAAGUAUAUGAAUGUCAUUUUGGCCGAUUGAGAAGAAUAUCGAAAACUUGGCAGCCGUGGGUACGUUGAACAAAAGCGUAUACUUGGUAAUUUGGUUUCAUUAUUUUACGGGGGCAAAAUGUUGUAUCAUAUUUAUAUAUUAACUGUGUUAUUGUAAUUAUUCAAUAACAGUGCAAUGAAACUCUUAUUAUAACCAUUUCAGUUUUUUUUAAAAAAAUGUUUUCAAAGAAUUUA
Molecule: long non-coding RNA, 654 nt
Organism: Rhopalosiphum padi (bird cherry-oat aphid)
Lineage: Eukaryota; Metazoa; Arthropoda; Insecta; Hemiptera; Aphididae
Exons: 3
Source: RefSeq, a predicted model, not a curated record